CUUUAUAUAUUUAAAUGUUUCUAUCAUAUCCCCCCUGUCUCGUCUUUCCUCCAAGCUAUACAUGUUAAGAUCCUUUAACCUUUCCUGGUAAGUUUUAUCCCGCAAUGUUAACUCAGAAAACGAAUAGAUUCUUAUAUGCGUUAUAUAACGGACCACCUGGUAACCCAACCGGUUACCUCCGCUAGUUCCCUUCCUUCAGCCGAUCGGGAACCCUUUAAGACAUACAGAAACCCAUUUUCCCCUAGUUACUGGACAAGACACAGUUCUGGAGGUACAACAACCACUUUAUUGGUCACACCCGACUUUAUACUUGUCCCCAUGCAAGGGGCAUAUACAACUCAAUGACAAUGUCCCCUCCCAGGGCCCUCCCCCUCCUAGGGGUUUUUGGGGCGGAAAAGGAACUCCAGUCUCUUUGUCCCCUGUUCCUGCCACCCAAGUACAGGGAUGCCCAUUUCUGGGGACAUGGGGUGUUCUUCCCAGGAUCCUCUAUGACUGGGAGCCAAAGCUCAGGUGGUCUUUGUCUC
Pelobates cultripes (western spadefoot toad) is the source of this 524-nucleotide non-coding RNA. NCBI's taxonomy places the organism in Eukaryota, Metazoa, Chordata, Amphibia, Anura, Pelobatidae. The record is from the annotation of a GenBank genome assembly.